GCAGUAGCUCAGUGGCAGAGCACUUGCCUAGCACAUGUGAGGCACUGGGUUCAAUCCUCAGCACUGCA
Molecule: transfer RNA, 68 nt
Filed under: Marmota monax (woodchuck)
Lineage: Eukaryota; Metazoa; Chordata; Mammalia; Rodentia; Sciuridae
Description: tRNA.Ala
Source: RNAcentral